This is a long non-coding RNA of Ipomoea triloba (trilobed morning glory), 919 nucleotides long. RefSeq lists it as uncharacterized. Lineage: Eukaryota; Viridiplantae; Streptophyta; Magnoliopsida; Solanales; Convolvulaceae. The record is from RefSeq and is a predicted model, not a curated record. The transcript has 3 exons.
CAGCCCCUUAUAUCUCACUAUCUCGCUCGUCUCUCUCUCGCUCUCUCUUAUCUCCGGCGAACGACGAACAGCGACGCCCGGAGAUGGCAGCCGCGACGGAGCCCAGUAGCAACGAUGGACGGGCUUCAACACUGGAUGAGCGACGGCGGCGAAGCUCCGGCGAGGCAGUCCUGGCGGCGUUCUUCUCCCGUCCGGCGAGCAGCGGACUAGGGACCUCCUUCUGCGCAGCAGUAGCGAACGGCGGUGGUUGCAGCAGCAAUGAGGUCUUCGGCUCCAGCAGCAGCGAUGGGCAUCCUCUGUUUCCGGCGAACGGGCGGUAGCAGCGGCGAACCUGGGUCCUCCUUUAUCCGGCGUCCUCUCCUCUGGCACUUCUAGUAGUAAGAAGCAGCCAGUUAUGGCGGAUGGUUCUUCCCUCUCUUCGGCAGUACGUUAGCGGUGGUUUGGUUCGGCGGUGAGCAGAGCUUCCGGCGGUGUGGUGGCUUGUUGUUGAUGACGUAGAACGACGGCGAGUCUUGGACGAACAGAACGAAGAAGAUGGAUUGAAGGAUGGAUUAUCAAGGGCUAAUGAGGUUCCCUAUUGAAGUGACUAGUCUAAAAGUUGAACCUUAAAUUGGAUGCUAGCUUUUGGAGCUUUAGCUUUGAGGACCUGGACUUGUGGCUAGUUGAGAGCACGAAGUAGAACUUGUGCCCGAGAAUUGAUUAUGGUAUAGAUGUAUAGAUUAGAAUUUGAUCUGUUGAUGUUAUAGUUGGUUAUGAAUGGUCCAAUGAUAUGUGUAUGUGGAUUUAAACAGAACCUUAUAGCCUAUGCAUUUGAGCUUAGUUGUAGCCCAAGCGUGACGUAGCACCCCUUUGUUUAAGUUUUGGUUUCGCUUUCGCAUUUAUAUUCAGUAUUUUAGUAAGAAAAUCUUUUAUUUUGAUA